RNAcentral lists this ribosomal RNA (1077 nucleotides) under Microbacterium sp. RNAcentral's name for it is "bacterial LSU rRNA". It matches the Rfam family "Bacterial large subunit ribosomal RNA", at positions 1854 to 2925 of the family's 2925-position model. The record is from RNAcentral. Lineage: Bacteria; Bacillati; Actinomycetota; Actinomycetes; Micrococcales; Microbacteriaceae.
GACGCCUGCCCGGUGCCCGAAGGUUAAAGGGAGGGGUCAGCCGCAAGGCGAAGCUCUGAACUGAAGCCCGGGUAAACGGCGGCCGUAACUAUAACGGUCCUAAGGUAGCGAAAUUCCUUGUCGGGUAAGUUCCGACCUGCACGAAUGGCGUAACGACUUUCCCAACUGUCUCAACCACGAACUCGGCGAAAUUGCAUUACGAGUAAAGAUGCUCGUUACGCGCAGCAGGACGGAAAGACCCCGUGACCUUUACUACAGCUUGGUAUUGGUGUUCGGUGUGGCUUGUGUAGGAUAGGUGGGAGACUGUGAAGCAGACACGCCAGUGUUUGUGGAGUCGUUGUUGAAAUACCACUCUGGUCACUCUGGAUGUCUAACUUCGAACCGUAAUCCGGUUCAGGGACAGUGCCUGGUGGGUAGUUUAACUGGGGCGGUUGCCUCCCAAAAUGUAACGGAGGCGCCCAAAGGUUCCCUCAACCUGGUUGGCAAUCAGGUGGCGAGUGUAAGUGCACAAGGGAGCUUGACUGUGAGACUGACAGGUCGAGCAGGGACGAAAGUCGGGACUAGUGAUCCGGCAGUGGCUUGUGGAAGCGCUGUCGCUCAACGGAUAAAAGGUACCUCGGGGAUAACAGGCUGAUCUUGCCCAAGAGUCCAUAUCGACGGCAUGGUUUGGCACCUCGAUGUCGGCUCGUCGCAUCCUGGGGCUGGAGUAGGUCCCAAGGGUUGGGCUGUUCGCCCAUUAAAGCGGUACGCGAGCUGGGUUUAGAACGUCGUGAGACAGUUCGGUCCCUAUCCGCUGCGCGCGUAGGAAGUUUGAGAGGAUCUGACCCUAGUACGAGAGGACCGGGUUGGACGAACCUCUGGUGUGUCAGUUGUUCCGCCAGGAGCACCGCUGAUUAGCUACGUUCGGGAUGGAUAACCGCUGAAAGCAUCUAAGCGGGAAGCCGGCCUCAAGAUGAGACUUCCAUGCCUACGGGCGAGAGGCUCCCAGCAGACUACUGGGUUGAUAGGCCAGAUGUGGAAGCGUGGUAACACGUGCAGCUGACUGGUACUAAUAAGCCGAUGACUUGAUAACACACC